AUUUACAUAGGUACUAUUUACUUGUUAUUUGUUAUUAAGUUCCGAUAGUGUAUGUGUAUGAAAUACUGUCAUUAUUACUAAAUUUAAAGAACAAUUUAUAGAAAGCAAGUUUCAAAACAUAGAACCAGGUACUGGUGUCUUCACCUGGAGGAGGAGCUGGCCUCCAGCCGAAGACAAUCUCAGAUUAAGAGAAUGAACCGUAUUGAGGAAGUCUAACCGCUCCCUUAGAUAGCAAGGAGAGGACGGGUUAAAAAGGACAUUAUGAAGCAGUGAAAGAUUGUCAGUAUACCGUCGAAAAUGAAUGGAAAGCCACUUUAGCUUAGCAGGAAACGGGAAAAUAUGAUCAUAUUUUCUAAGACCGAAAGUAAACCUGAUGAAAACGUUUUGAAGACGUCUUGGUCUUCCGUAAAAUCCAGAUAACAAGUGUUGAAAUAAUCAAGAAUUGAGAGAAGUAAGGAUUGAGAUAUGAAGUAAGGAGUGCAAUUUUGGUAGCUAUAGGCAAGAAAUUACGCAGUAUUCGAAAUGAGCUAAUGGAUCCGAAAACUUUCCUACUGACCGUUUCUAUUUGUGGUUGCCAAGUUAGACAACUGUCAAUGAUCACACCCAGGUCUUUCACUGAUUCACUGAAAGCAAUAGUUCAAUUGGAUACGACCUCGCCUCUAGCGACUGCCCUUACUGUUGGCGAGAAUAAGAAUUGCGGUCAAGUAUUUGUUUGAAACAUAUAAUUUUAAAGAAAAUGUCAUUAACAUGUACAAAAUCCGAAGAUCAGAAAUAUAAGAACGAUACUGAAAAUAUAGCACCUUUAACUAAAUUACGUGUAUGUAUUAAUUUU
Molecule: long non-coding RNA, 832 nt
Organism: Galleria mellonella (greater wax moth)
Lineage: Eukaryota; Metazoa; Arthropoda; Insecta; Lepidoptera; Pyralidae
Exons: 3
Source: RefSeq, a predicted model, not a curated record